This 834-nucleotide long non-coding RNA is filed under the name Phaseolus vulgaris (common bean). Its description in RNAcentral is "long non-coding RNA (PVUL_LNC001834)". Lineage: Eukaryota; Viridiplantae; Streptophyta; Magnoliopsida; Fabales; Fabaceae. The record is from RNAcentral.
UCCUGAAGCUAUAAUAACUAUUUUUUGUGCACUUGAUGCCUUAAUUGUUGACUUUGGAGGUCCUGAAGCCCUUGGUCCUGAAAUUUCAUGAAUUGCUUUUGGUGGUCCUGAAGCUAUAAUAACUGUUUUUGAUCCACUUGAUGCCUUAAUUGUUGACUUCGGAGGUCCGGAAGCCCUUGGUCCUGAAAUUUCAUGAAUUGAUUUUGGUGGUCCUGAAGCUAUAAUAACUGUUUUUGAUCCACUUGAUGCCUUAAUUGUUGACUUCGGAGGUCCUGAAGCCCUUGGUCCUGAAAUUUCAUGAAUUGAUUUUGGUGGUCCUGAAGCUAUAAUAACUGUUUUUGAUCCACUUGAUGCCUUAAUUGUUGACUUCGGAGGUCCUGAAACCCUUGGUCCUGAAAUUUCAUGAAUUGCUUUUGGUGGUCCUAAAGCUAUAAUAACUGUUUUUGAUCCACUUGAUGCCUUAAUUGUUGACUUCGGAGGUCCUGAAGCCCUUGGUCCUGAAAUUUCAUGAAUUGAUUUUGGUGGUCCUGAAGCUAUAAUAACUGUUUUUGAUCCACUUGAUUCCUUAAUUGUUGACUUCGGAGGUCCUGAAGCCCUUGGUCCUGAAAUUUCAUGAAUUGAUUUUGGUGGUCCUGAAGCUAUAAUAACUGUUUUUUGUGCACAAGAUGGUGGUUUUGGACCUGCAGUUGCAUGAGAUGGUGGUUUUGGACCUGCAGUUACAUCAGAAGAUCUUGGAGGCCCUGAGGUUGUGACCUCUACCUCUGAAGCUGCAACUGCAACUACCAGAACAAUUAGCAAAGCUAAAAAAGCUACAAACACGUUCUUCAUUUUCAA